Non-coding RNA from Vicia faba (fava bean), 234 nucleotides. The record is from the annotation of a GenBank genome assembly. Lineage: Eukaryota; Viridiplantae; Streptophyta; Magnoliopsida; Fabales; Fabaceae.
AUGUGGAUUAUUGGAAAGGGGGUGGAAGCCAAAAACAAAUAUCAAACUAGGAAGAUGUAUCAUGCUCUUAGAGGGGAUAAAGAAAAAGUUGUGUGGCGCAGGAUUAUGAUCGAUAAUCGAGCUAGACCAAUAGCUCUCUUCACUCUUUGGAUGACCCUUAGUGGUAAGCUGUCAACUAAAGAUAGCCUCAUUUGUUUCGGUAUGGUGCUAGAUCCGAAGUGUUUUUUUUUGUAA